UCAACCCGAUGCGACCCCUAUUCCCUCAUUGUUUUCCCUGCUCCCUUCUCUAACGCAGUUUUCUCUCUUCAAUUCGACGAUUCCCUCACCUAUCAGCUCUUUCCGCCUUCCGGGCACAGCUCCAUCUCCGGCGUUGCGUUUGACGCCGCCGCCGCCGCCGCCGCCAACAAUCAAUCUACCAAUUAGGUUUUCGUUCUCUGUAUGAUCUCGAUUGCCUUGCCUCUUAUCAGAUUUGGACCGCCGUGUCUCCCUUCCUUCCCUCCCUCUGAUUCCAUUUCUUAAACUACAAUCUGAGAAUCCGCCUCCGUUUCUCGCCCUUCUCUGCUGAUUCCGUUCAUAUUCUUUCGUUUCCCAGUCCAAAUUUCAAUUCUCUUAUUUUUUGUUUGGUGUUUUUUGUUUCAGUUGUGCGUCAAUUCACGCCUUUUGCGCUGGGCCUUGGCGGUUCUCUUUACCUUUUUUUUAUCCUCUAAACCAGCACAGGCUCUUUUCUCAAUUUUUUUAUAUUCUCUUUCGUUGAGUGCUUUUCCAGUUUUGGACAGAUGCUCUCUCUCGUUCGUUUGUAGAUAAAAGAUCAUUUCACUCUUUUACCCCGGAGCCCCCAUCUUUGUCCUGGCCUUCCGUUUUGCCAGUUACUUUCUACCCUCUCAGGUUUAAACAAUCUGUUUGAGGCCGACGUGGCGUUUGGUGGGGAAAUAAUGAGUUUCCAGUCCAGUAGGAUGCUGCCGCCUGGCGAAUCUCGGAAGCGGAAAGAGAGAGAGCCACAUCCAGGGUUUUAUUCCGUGAAGCCAUCAAUUCCAUCGUCUCGGCCACUUCAUCAACUCCACCGCAAGCCUGAGCAGCAGCAGCAGCCGCCGCCGUCUUCUAACGU
RNAcentral lists this long non-coding RNA (868 nucleotides) under Linum usitatissimum (flax). RNAcentral's name for it is "long non-coding RNA (LUSI_LNC006704)". The record is from RNAcentral. Lineage: Eukaryota; Viridiplantae; Streptophyta; Magnoliopsida; Malpighiales; Linaceae.